UUGGUAAUCAGGUGUUGAGUGUAAGUGCACAAGGGAGCUUGACUGUGAGACCGACGGGUCGAGCAGGGACGAAAGUCGGGACUAGUGAUCCGGCGGUGGCUUGUGGAAGCGCCGUCGCUCAACGGAUAAAAGGUACCCCGGGGAUAACAGGCUGAUCUUCCCCAAGAGUCCAUAUCGACGGGAUGGUUUGGCACCUCGAUGUCGGCUCGUCGCAUCCUGGGGCUGGAGUCGGUCCCAAGGGUUGGGCUGUUCGCCCAUUAAAGCGGUACGCGAGCUGGGUUUAGAACGUCGUGAGACAGUUCGGUCCCUAUCCGCUGUGCGCGUAGGAGUCUUGAGAAGGGCUGUCCCUAGUACGAGAGGACCGGGACGGACGAACCUCUGGUGUGCCAGUUGUCCUGCCAAGGGCAUGGCUGGUUGGCUACGUUCGGGAGGGAUAACCGCUGAAAGCAUCUAAGCGGGAAGCCUGCUUCGAGAUGAGGACUCCCACCCACUUGAUGGGGUAAGGCUCCCAGUAGACGACUGGGUUGAUAGGCCGGAUCUGGAAGCCAGGUAACUGGUGGAGGUGACCGGUACUAAUAGGCCGAGGGCUUGUCCUCAGUUG
This 601-nucleotide ribosomal RNA is filed under the name Streptomyces lavendulae. RNAcentral's name for it is "partial 23S ribosomal RNA". It matches the Rfam family "Bacterial large subunit ribosomal RNA", at positions 2331 to 2925 of the family's 2925-position model. The record is from RNAcentral. Lineage: Bacteria; Bacillati; Actinomycetota; Actinomycetes; Kitasatosporales; Streptomycetaceae.